This 74-nucleotide transfer RNA is filed under the name Bacteroidaceae bacterium. RNAcentral's name for it is "tRNA-Ile". It matches the Rfam family "tRNA". Rfam says of the family: Transfer RNA (tRNA) molecules are approximately 80 nucleotides in length. Lineage: Bacteria; Pseudomonadati; Bacteroidota; Bacteroidia; Bacteroidales; Bacteroidaceae. The record is from RNAcentral.
GGACUUGUAGCUCAGUCGGUUAGAGCAACAGACUCAUAAUCUGGAGGUCCUAGGUUCAAGCCCUAGCUGGUCCA